UCCCUGGUAGCUCAGCGGUAGAGCAUUCGACUGUUAAUCGAAUGGUCGCAGGUUCGAAUCCUGCCCGGGGAGCCA
RNAcentral lists this transfer RNA (75 nucleotides) under Nitrobacter winogradskyi Nb-255. Its description in RNAcentral is "tRNA-Asn (GTT) (tRNA-Asn-GTT-1-1)". It matches the Rfam family "tRNA". From Rfam's summary of the family: Transfer RNA (tRNA) molecules are approximately 80 nucleotides in length. The record is from RNAcentral. Lineage: Bacteria; Pseudomonadati; Pseudomonadota; Alphaproteobacteria; Hyphomicrobiales; Nitrobacteraceae.